AACUGAUUAGAACCAGAAGGUUGAUGUUGACUCCUGAUCACCUCACUACCGACCAAAAAUAGGAGACUGUCCACCAGCUGAUCCCAUAUCCCUCUUCCUCACCCUACCUUUAAAAACCCCUCCCUGAAAGUCAUCAGGUAAUUCAGGCCUUUUUCUUUGGGUGUUAGCUUCUGGUACUACUUGCCUGACGCCCUGCAAUAAACACUGCACUUUCUUUCAUCACAAGCCAGUGUCAGUAGAUUGGCUUUGCCGCACUGGUGAAUGGACCCACACUGGGCUGAACAACAAAAGAAGUCAGUUACAAAAGACUAUGUAUUAUAAGAUCCCAUUCUGUCCAUUAUAGGCAAAUUCAUGGAGAUAGAAAGCAGGUUAGUUGUUGCCAUUAGUAGGAUGGAAUAGGGAGUCACUGAUAAUGGGUACAGAGUUUCUUUGGGGGGUAAUAAAAAGUGCUUUGGAAUUAGAUAACGGUGACGGUUGCAUGACCUUGUGAAAAUACUAAAAAGCACUGAAUCGUACAUUUUAAAAGGGUGAAUUUUGUGGUAUGUGAAUGUAACUCAAUUUUUAAAAAUCCAAUUUGUGUGUGCACACACACACACAUCCUACCACAUAGGACAGUUAAGAAAAUGCCUGGGCUUACGUGCACAAGGCACAGUGUCCGCAGAAUUCCUCCAGGAAACAGCUGUUUUUAUUUUCCAUAGUCCACGGAGGGUCAGAAAGAGUGAAGGGAGGAAAGCCAUAAACACAGCUACAUCGGCCUGACGUCUCCGCCUCUGACGUUGGCAGGGCCACUCACCGCUCCUCCCCUGCAGUCCACUGCCCGGUAUUCCUGCCUCUCAGCUCGGCGGACGGUCCGGCUUCCACCACCGGGGCUCUUCAGGCAGGCGGCCCGAGGUGCUUCAUCUUUAACCAAAGGCCUGGUUUCUAGAGUGGAAAAACCUGCUUGGCCCUGGGUUGCUCUCACCAUGGGCUCACCACUGAGACCCAAGUUCCCUCAGUCUCCACACUUGGAUAUCAGGGGACCGGAUACAAAGAGCUCUGUGAUGCCUUUUGACUUCCCUGUACAGUCAAGGACAGCUGCAAGGUGGAGAUCUUCCAAAGGUCACCAAGAGCACCAAGCCUUCUAGCCCCAGUGCCAGGGGUUGACCUCAAAAGGAACUCCAGUGAGGUUUCUGGAAAACAUUCCAGUUCUUUCACCCAGCUCACACCAUAGCCCUCUGAAAAGGUUACACAGUGUCUCCUCAAAGUCCUGUCAGUGGAAAUUCGAGUGGAUUGUUAUUGCUUUCUUCUUCCAAGGCCCAUUCCCUCCUCCCCUAAUAAUGGAACCCUAGUUUUCCUUUAAGGAAUUGUCCUUUCUCUGUUGCCAGUCCUUGAGGGUUGAGCUCCAGGGACAGGCUCAUGAAAAGCUGGGCAAAAAGCCUAUUUUCCACCUCGGUGGUUGACUGAUGAUGGGAUAAAGGACAAAGGCAGACUCAAAUCAAGACGUUGGCCAGAGAUGCUGGAGGCCUUUGGCUUCUUUAUGGAAUGAAGUCUCACAGAAGAAAUCAGAGCUGGGAGCUGAAGAAGAGACAAUUGUUGAGAACAACAUUUGAGCCCCUAGAUCCAGCCAUGCCUGAAAGCCUAUACGUGGACUUUCAAUUACCUGAGCAAAUAAAUCCAUUCCCACUUUUUUGUUGUUGAAGGGA
This is a long non-coding RNA of Bos indicus x Bos taurus (hybrid cattle), 1682 nucleotides long. Lineage: Eukaryota; Metazoa; Chordata; Mammalia; Artiodactyla; Bovidae. The record is from Ensembl.